GAUGAACGCUGGCGGCGUGCCUAAUACAUGCAAGUCGAGCGAACAGACGAGGAGCUUGCUCCUCUGACGUUAGCGGCGGACGGGUGAGUAACACGUGGAUAACCUACCUAUAAGACUGGGAUAACUUCGGGAAACCGGAGCUAAUACCGGAUAAUAUAUUGAACCGCAUGGUUCAAUAGUGAAAGACGGUUUUGCUGUCACUUAUAGAUGGAUCCGCGCCGCAUUAGCUAGUUGGUAAGGUAACGGCUUACCAAGGCAACGAUGCGUAGCCGACCUGAGAGGGUGAUCGGCCACACUGGAACUGAGACACGGUCCAGACUCCUACGGGAGGCAGCAGUAGGGAAUCUUCCGCAAUGGGCGAAAGCCUGACGGAGCAACGCCGCGUGAGUGAUGAAGGUCUUCGGAUCGUAAAACUCUGUUAUUAGGGAAGAACAAAUGUGUAAGUAACUAUGCACGUCUUGUCGGUACCUAAUCAGAAAGCAACGGCUAACUACGUG
Molecule: ribosomal RNA, 497 nt
Filed under: uncultured bacterium
Lineage: Bacteria
Description: partial 16S ribosomal RNA
Rfam family: Bacterial small subunit ribosomal RNA
Source: RNAcentral